UGCAAGUCGAACGGUAACAGGAAGCAGCUUGCUGCUUCGCUGACGAGUGGCGGACGGGUGAGUAAUGUCUGGGAAACUGCCUGAUGGAGGGGGAUAACUACUGGAAACGGUAGCUAAUACCGCAUAACGUCGCAAGACCAAAGAGGGGGACCUUCGGGCCUCUUGCCAUCAGAUGUGCCCAGAUGGGAUUAGCUUGUUGGUGGGGUAACGGCUCACCUAGGCGACGAUCCCUAGCUGGUCUGAGAGGAUGACCAGCCACACUGGAACUGAGACACGGUCCAGACUCCUACGGGAGGCAGCAGUGGGGAAUAUUGCACAAUGGGCGCAAGCCUGAUGCAGCCAUGCCGCGUGUAUGAAGAAGGCCUUCGGGUUGUAAAGUACUUUCAGCGGGGAGGAAGGUGAUGGGGUUAAUAACCGUGGCAAUUGACGUUACCCGCAGAAGAAGCACCGGCUAACUCCGUGCCAGCAGCCGCGGUAAUACGGAGGGUGCAAGCGUUAAUCGGAAUUACUGGGCGUAAAGCGCACGCAGGCGGUCUGUUAAGUCAGAUGUGAAAUCCCCGGGCUCAACCUGGGAACUGCAUCUGAUACUGGCAGGCUUGAGUCUCGUAGAGGGGGGUAGAAUUCCAGGUGUAGCGGUGAAAUGCGUAGAGAUCUGGAGGAAUACCGGUGGCGAAGGCGGCCCCCUGGACGAAGACUGACGCUCAUGUGCGAAAGCGUGGGGAGCAAACAGGAUUAGAUACCCUG
RNAcentral lists this ribosomal RNA (744 nucleotides) under Citrobacter koseri. RNAcentral describes it as "bacterial SSU rRNA". It matches the Rfam family "Bacterial small subunit ribosomal RNA", at positions 56 to 789 of the family's 1533-position model. The record is from RNAcentral. Lineage: Bacteria; Pseudomonadati; Pseudomonadota; Gammaproteobacteria; Enterobacterales; Enterobacteriaceae.